Triticum urartu is the source of this 115-nucleotide non-coding RNA. The record is from Rfam. NCBI's taxonomy places the organism in Eukaryota, Viridiplantae, Streptophyta, Magnoliopsida, Poales, Poaceae.
AAAAUACUCCCUCCAUCCGGAAAUACUUGUCGGAGAAAUGGAUGUAUCUAGACGUACUUUAGUUCUAGAUACAUCCAUUUUUCUUACAAGUAUUUCUGGACGGAGGGAGUACAUU